CGAUAACAUGUGACUUUCUCGGCGCCACCUGUCAAUCGUUGCGGCGAGGUGACGUCACGACAUGGCGGACGUUGUGUUGUGAAGAGAAGACGAAAACAUCCGAAUCUACGAACGACGAUUCGCAUAGAUGAAACGAUACGGAACACUUAAAAAAUAGACGUACUUAGCGCAUUUAGUGUAAAUAUUCCAAAAAGACAAUCAUCGACAACAUUCCAUUGUUAUCCUUUUUGCAAGGUGAGUGCUAUUUCGAUGCCUUAAGCAGUCACGCCCAUGAAACAAGUGGUUCAGUUCUGUUCACGUUUUUCUUCGAUACCAAAUUAGUAUUAUAAACGAGACAAAAUAAUAAUAAACUAUAAACUUGUACGAAUAAUCAACCAAUGUAUGUUGUAGUUGUUUACACGUAAACAGUAUAAAAGAGCAAAGUGUAUAUUGACACGGCAUGAUUCGUUUCAGAUUCGAAUAUGAUAUUUAUAUCCACUUUAUUAAAUGUAUUCAUUUAAUCAUUUCAAAUACUAUCGUCUGUCGAUUUUCUUUUCUAAAUAAAAUGGGAAUAUUUUAUUGUAAAUGUUUUUUUGAACGCAGUAUUCCCUAUAAAACGUUGAUAACAUCACUUGAAUAUCAAAUAGGUCUUUUACAUGUUCUCCUUUUAGAAUGAAAACAUGUUUGGUGUUGUACCAUGCCGAUUGGUAACUGCCUGGAGUAGUAGAUCUGUGUACAUUCUAUUUUUGAAAUCGGUUUAUCAUAUUUGCAUUUUUUGCUUGUCUUAUUGCUUUUGAUUUUGAUGGUGAAUAUAAUCUCUGUAGAGUUUGAAGUAGAAGCUUAAACAAUUAUAUAAAAACAGCUGCUGAAACAAUUUUAAUUAUGUAAUGAUUAAAGCUGGAAUAAUGCAUAAUGUGAAUGACAUAUGCAGAAAACAUUGUUUAUACUUUUUGACUC
RNAcentral lists this long non-coding RNA (936 nucleotides) under Androctonus crassicauda. The record is from RNAcentral. Lineage: Eukaryota; Metazoa; Arthropoda; Arachnida; Scorpiones; Buthidae.